Molecule: transfer-messenger RNA, 355 nt
Filed under: Anaerovoracaceae
Lineage: Bacteria; Bacillati; Bacillota; Clostridia; Peptostreptococcales
Also listed under: 2 other names
Description: RUG13615 sp902790905 Standard tmRNA
Rfam family: transfer-messenger RNA
About the family: Bacterial tmRNA, also known as 10Sa RNA or SsrA, is named for its dual tRNA and mRNA-like properties. Its role is to liberate the mRNA from a stalled ribosome.
Source: RNAcentral
GGGGGUGUCAUGGUUUCGACAGGAUCAUUGAAUCAGGAUAAGCGAGCCGCAGUUGGUCCGGCUGCGUUAAAAAGGACCCGUUAAAUACAAACGCUAAAAAUAACAAUUCUUUCGCACUGGCUGCUUAGUUCAGCCCCGCGCGUCGGCCUGAGUUCACCUGCAGGCUCAUGAUCCGGCGUCGACAUGCAGGAAACCCUUGCGUGAGUUCCCGGUAGCGUAAGGGGCCAACGGGAUAACGGAUCGGCAGGCCGCCUCUCGCCUCGCCGCUAAGCGAAAAUUCCAACUGAGGAUGCGCUCGGAGAAAUUCCUGUGGAUGUGGUUUUGGACGCGGGUCCGACUCCCGCCACCUCCACCA